This 957-nucleotide long non-coding RNA is filed under the name Ricinus communis (castor bean). RNAcentral's name for it is "long non-coding RNA (RCOM_LNC002310)". The record is from RNAcentral. Lineage: Eukaryota; Viridiplantae; Streptophyta; Magnoliopsida; Malpighiales; Euphorbiaceae.
UUAACAAUGUGAACUGAGUUCUGGUUUUAGUUGCACUCAGUUGGCUUUUAGAUAGACCUUGUUUUUCUGCAGCUUUGCACAUGUGUCCCAUAGAGGAAAGAGUCUUUUGAUAGCCUUUCUUACUGAAAACUGAAGAUGUCUGCAAGCACUUUCUGUUUUAUUAUGACUGAAAUUUUCUUUCCCAUCUUCAACUUGUUCAUUUUUCAUUUUAGUUGAUAUCUCUUUAGCAGUUGUCUUCGUACUGACAUUCUUCUUGCUCUUUGUACAAGAUAGCUAUUACUUUCUUGUUUUUGUAGAUUGCAGCAAGUUCAUUAUAAUCAUUGAUCGACUGUGCUACUAUGAGGAGUGGGCAGGUUGCUGAAAUGGACUUCAAAGAAAGAACUGCUGAUGGGAAAACAGGUAGAUAACAUGACAUGUUAUGUUUCCUAACAAGAAACUUCUACAUUUUAAACAUGGCCAAAAAAAUGCUUUUUCUCAUUUUCUGGAAGAAUGAUACAUCUUGCACUGCUCUUCAACUGCUAUAACUUUGAAUAGAUACUUGGCAAAAAAUGUCUACAUCUUUCCAUAAAUCNNNNNNNNNNNNNNNNNNNNNNNNNNNUAUUAGUUGUCGUAUGAUGUAUAUAUGUUAAAUGUGCUAUCUGAUAUGGAAAAUAAAAGAAGAUAGGAUAGGACAGCGGAGAUUGUUAUAAGAGAUGGUGGUUAAAAAUAAUUCCUGAUUUUUAAAGUUUUGUUGUAGAUUGCAAUAACAUGGUUAGUGUGACUCGAUGUAGAUAUCCGGCUUGCUUACAAGGACGAUAGAGGGGUGUGUUUCUUGUCAUCACCUUGAAUCAUUGGGCUAAGACCCUGCAGCUUCUAAAUGCACAUGGUAGGCCCUUUUGAUCUUUUAUGAUAAUUUUCUCCUUCAUCCUUAAUAUGGGGUUUUGUAUAAUCUGUUAGUGGAUUUCAGUUCUUUAGCUG